AUGGCCGAAGCUUGAACUUAACCAACCCCAAUAUACAAGUAAGCCCAACCCCCCAAAAAAAACCCUUAACUUUGUAUCUCCAUAUCCGAACCCAUAACCAGAAGAGAAAACACCUUCUACAGGACGAGGCUCUAGUGCGGCACACGGCCAAACCACAACGCCGGCGGGGAGAAAGAUCCUCAUGAAGUACCAAUGGGGAUGAGAUACGGCUACAUCGCCUAAAAGAAGAAACCCCACAAGCUACACCCCAAGGAUUUGCCAUCAAUCUAGGACACAAUCAAAACCAUGAUGCACUGGGUUGAGCACCGAAACCAAAGGAGUUGUAGACUCUUUUCUAGGGAAGAAACAAGCACCUCUAGUGCGGCACACGGCCAAACCACAA
This 382-nucleotide unclassified non-coding RNA is filed under the name Hevea brasiliensis (rubber tree). The record is from RNAcentral. Lineage: Eukaryota; Viridiplantae; Streptophyta; Magnoliopsida; Malpighiales; Euphorbiaceae.